UGCGGUGCUGAGAAUGGAAUCCAGAGCCUCACACAUGCUGGGCAAGCAUUUUACCACUGAACAACAACCCCAGCCCGCAACUCAGACUUUUUGUUGUUGCUGCGGCUUGAACCCAGGGCCUCAGGCAUGUAGGCACAAACUUUAUCUCUCAGCUAGCUCUCAGCCCUUUCUAAUGAUUUUUCUUUUCUUUGGUGCCUGGAAUUGAACUCAGGGGCACUCGACCAACUGAUCUACAUCCCCAAUCCUAUUUUGUAUUUUAUUCAGAGACAGGGUCUCACUGAGUUUCUUAGCAUCUCCAUUGCGGAGGCUGGCUUUGAACUCACAUCCUUCUGUCUCAGCCUCCAGGCCUCUGGGGUUACAGGUGUGCCCGGCUAAUGUUGCAUUUUAAAGGAAAUUUCAUAUCCCCUCAUCCUCCCCACCCCCCGGGCAUUAGAUCAGAUUUACUUGUGAACAUACAUAUAAUGACUUGGGAUUGAAUAGGCCAGAAGGUUCAAGACAAGUAAUAUUCCAUGGUGGUUUGGCAAAUGAAAAACAGGAAGUAUUGGGUGGGGUCAUUUUUAUCUUUCCAAUCAAGAAAGAACUGAUAGAGCUAAUUGGCACAUACCUGUGAUUCCAGCAAUUUGGGAAGUGGAAGUAGGAGGACCCAAAUUUGAGACCACCCUGGGUGACUUAGCAGAGACUCUUUCAACAUUUCAAAAAAGGGGCUGGAAAUGGUAACUCAGUGGUAAAGUGCCCCUCAGUUCAAUUCCCAGUAACUAGCAUACACAUAAACCUGAUAACUAUUAAAAAUCAGCUCUGUGGGGGCUAGGGUUGUGGCUCAGUGGUAGAACGCUUGCCUUACACAAGUGAGGUACUAGGUUUGAUCCUUAGCACCACAUAAAAAUAAAUAAAGGUAUUGUGUUCAUUUACAACUAAAAAAAUAAUUUUUUUUUAAAUCAGCUCUGCUAUUCACACACUCCACCCCAAGGAUCAUUUUCUUUUUAUUUAUUUAUUUAUUUUUGUGGUGCUGGGGAUUGAACCCAGGGCCUUGUGUAUGCAAGAGAAGCACUCUACCAUCUGAGCUAUAUCCCCAGCCCAAGGAUCAUUUUCUUUUUUUUAAUAUUUAUUUUUUAGAUGUAGAUGGACACAACACAAUGCCUUUUAUGUGGUGCUGAGGAUCGAACCGGAAUCCAGGUCCCACCCGUGCUAGGCAAGCACUCUACCGCUGAGCCACAAUCCCAGCCCCCAAGGAUCAUUUUCUAUUAUGAUCAUUUUUGUGUUUUCUCAGGUCUAAAUCUGAGAGCUAAAGCAAUGUCAUGCACCUCCCUAUUUUCAUAUUGCCUUCCAUAAAGGGGCUCAAAUAAAUUUAUUGUACCUUCUGGUCAGCUACAAAAGCUGCAUUUCCUCUUCAACCUCUAGCAUUGUGGUCCUUGGAGCUCCUGGCCAGUGUUUCCAUAGCAUUGGGCAAAAGUGAAGGGCUAUGAAGUCCAUGGCAUUUGCUCCUGAUUAAGAAGCAACAGGAAACUAAAAUGUUUCAUUAAAGAAUGUUAUGAAUUUUGCAAACAGUUUUUGAUUUCACCAGCAAUACACUGGAGUUUUUGGCUG
RNAcentral lists this long non-coding RNA (1584 nucleotides) under Marmota monax (woodchuck). Lineage: Eukaryota; Metazoa; Chordata; Mammalia; Rodentia; Sciuridae. The record is from RNAcentral.